UGGGUUGUAGCUCAGUGGUAGAGUGCUUGCCUAGUAAGCAUGAGGCACUUGGUUUGAUCCUCAGCACCACAU
Ictidomys tridecemlineatus (thirteen-lined ground squirrel) is the source of this 72-nucleotide non-coding RNA. The record is from Rfam. NCBI's taxonomy places the organism in Eukaryota, Metazoa, Chordata, Mammalia, Rodentia, Sciuridae.